Molecule: long non-coding RNA, 1051 nt
Organism: Bubalus bubalis (water buffalo)
Lineage: Eukaryota; Metazoa; Chordata; Mammalia; Artiodactyla; Bovidae
Exons: 3
Source: RefSeq, a predicted model, not a curated record
UGUGUUCUUCUUGAAGAGUGUCAGUCCCUUUCGUCUUAAAAGAUGCAGACAAGCACUUAAAGGCUGUCAAUCAUUUCCCUUGAGGGGAGACAAGAAACUUUUAACAUGAAUUGCCAAUAUUUUUCCACAGUAAGGUCCCAGUGACCAGUAGGCACUUUGAAUUUAAAGGAGGGGGUCCUUCCUCUCAGGUGAGAAGAACUGUGGUCCCAAGAAGGUGGCCUGUGUCUGGUUCCUGCAGCAGGGAGAAAGAAGUGGAAUACAGCGCUCAGAGCAUCCCACAAAAUAACCUUUGCAGCCUGAAUCAGGAUAUAUGCCUCACCCCAGCAGCCUGCCUAUGAGUGUUUUUGGGACAGGCUAGCUCACGUCCAGGUGGCUAGGUCCUGAGACUGAAUUUCUAGGGUCAUCUGGACAGUCUGGCUUCCCUAUCUCUAACUUGGGAAAUGAUUGAUUGCCUGCUCUGAUUUCACAACAGUGACGAUGGCUACUUCCUAAAUAACACCUUAAAAACUGUUCUUACCUGGUUUUAUCUUCAUCAGACUGGCCCACGUGGAUGAGAAUGAAUGUCGGAGAGAGCAUGGUUAUUGAAAAUGUAAAUAAAAUCCACAGUUUCUAAGUUGCUUGGAAGUCACCAGCAUUUUUCUUGAAGCAUUCCUCUGGAGACUGUUUUCGAGGGAAGAGUCUCAUGCUAACUGAAUCUCAGGACACCCCCAAAAUCUUAAUUCUGUUCGCAACAUACCCAUUAUAAUUAGAUGAUGAGCUAUGCGUGUCAGCUUGUGAGGGGGGUGGGCGUGUGGAGAAGAUAAAACAGGCAGAAAGCAUCGGUAGCAGUUAGUGCUUUGAGCUCAAGGAAGCUGCUGGUCUUCUGGCAUCACUGCUAAAUUUUGGAGGGUCUUAGAAGUCUCUAAGUCCAUAGCAUCCUCUUAUAGUGAGAAUCACAGGCUUUCUCCUCAGUGAAUGAAAAUCUAAUAAUAAAUCUGUAUCAACAUAUUGAAGCCACCUCUUUCUGAGAAACCGAGUCCUUUUCUGGGGACUUUAUUUCCGCAAACUCUCC